ACACCCUUAGAAUAGAAUGCUUCUCCAACUUUCUUUUUUGUUUUCCAACAUAAAAAUUGGCAACAACAAAGAAUUAGUAAAUACAAAACCAGUUAGAAAAAACAUCGGAAAAUGGUUGCUGUUGCCAGUUGUUGAACUUAACCCUUUCAUAUUUGGCCAUGACAAUAUUGACCAACACGGUUCAACCAGAAUGCUUGCUUCUGUCCCCAAGAAUGCCUCGAAGAAUACUCAGAGAGAAAUCUCCUAGUCCUUCACGCCAUAACCCUGGAGUGUUCUUCUUCCUUGGAGGGAUUGUAGUGCUCAUCAUAUUGCGGAUUCUUGUGUUUAUAUUUUGGAGGCGUAUUAAACGGCCAGCAAAGGUGAUGAGAACACAGCUCUGACAAGUCAACAGAAUGGACCAAUGGAGUUCAUUAGUGGGAACCUUCGGACAUUUAGCUACUUUGACUUCCGGACAUUGAGGAGAGCCACUAAGAAUUUCCAUCCUCGAAAUCUUCUUGGAAGUGGUGGAUUUGGGCCUGUCUAUCAGGUAUAGGGAAAGUUGGCAGAUGGAAGACUUAAGUCAAGACAUUGUCUCCUGACAAGUCUCAACAAGGAGAAAAAGAAUUUCUGGCAGAAGUGAGAAUGAUCACAAGCAUCCAACACAAAAAUCUGGUUCGCCUUCUCGGAUGUUGCUCAGAUGGCCCUCAAAGGAUACUAUGAAGAACAAAAGUUUGGACCUCAUAAUAUAUGUUAUCCUUCUUUAUUUCAUAUCAACUGUCACUCUUGUCAGCAUGCUGUCUAUUAUAUGUAAAAUAAGUACUUUCGUUGAAAUUGUAGAUCUUGUGUAUACUGUAUAUCAUGUCCAAUGUGUCAUGAGUAAUUCAAAGAACUGAAUAGUUUUAAGGAAAUAGUAAUUCCUAAUUUGGAUGCAUCUGUGAUCGGGAAAGAGUGAUCAAUUUCUGAAAUGGAGCACUAGAUUCCAAACUAUUCUUGGUGUAGCACGGGGAUUACAAUACCUUCACGAGGAUUCACUUUUAAGAAUUGUUCACCGAGACAUCAAAGCGAGCAACAUUCUUCUUGAUGAAAAGUUUCAGCCUAGGAUUGGAGACUUUGGGCUAGCUAGGUUCUUCCCUGAAGACCAAGCUUACCUUAGCACUCAGUUCGCAGGAACAUUAGGUUAUACAGCUCCCGAGUAUGCCAUUAGAGGAGAAUUGUCUGAAAAGGCAAACAUCUAUUGUUUUGGAGUUCUUGUGCUUGAAAUCAUCAGUUGUAGGAAAAAUACUUUACCAUCAGAACAGCAGUACCUACCCGAAUAUGUAAGUUAUCAACAUGAUUGCGGUUGCGGUCGCAAUUGUAGUCAGUGAAAAAACUAAACCUUUAUGUUGCGGGUAAUUGCAGAAAAAAUGCGGCCGCAAUUACGGUAAUGAUAUAAUUGCAGUGAUUCAAAAUACUUUUAGGUUGUGGCCGCAAUUGCGGAUGCAAACCGCAAUUAAAACCAUGGUUAUCACUAAAUUCUACUAAACUUUCACUUAUUAUUUGUACAACUAUACCAUGUUGUCCCUCAGAUGAUGCUUGUAUAAAUGAAUCUUGAUCACAGGCAUGGAAACUUUAUGAGAAGUCAAUGUUGGUAGAGAUUGUGAAUCCAAAACUGCGGGAACAUGGCAUAGAAGAAAAGGAUGUCAUGCAAACAUUCCACGUGGCCUUGUUAUGCCUUUAGCCACACGCGGAUUUGAGGCCUGCCAUGUCAGAGAUCGUAGCAAUGUUGACAUUCAAAGUUGAAAUGGUUACAACCAAGCAAUGGGGAGGGGCGGCGACCGGUAUGGUCUCCCCAACUCCCCAAACAUAUCCUCCUAUUCAUAUUGGAUGAGGUUAAAAUUUAUUAUCUCAUUCUUGGGUAGUAGGUA
Molecule: long non-coding RNA, 1883 nt
Organism: Glycine soja
Lineage: Eukaryota; Viridiplantae; Streptophyta; Magnoliopsida; Fabales; Fabaceae
Exons: 5
Source: RefSeq, a predicted model, not a curated record